AUUGAACGCUGGCGGCAGGCUUAACACAUGCAAGUCGAGCGGAGUGAUGGUGCUUGCACUAUCACUUAGCGGCGGACGGGUGAGUAAUGCUUAGGAAUCUGCCUAUUAGUGGGGGACAACAUCUCGAAAGGGAUGCUAAUACCGCAUACGUCCUUCGGGAGAAAGCAGGGGAUCACUUGUGACCUUGCGCUAAUAGAUGAGCCUAAGUCGGAUUAGCUAGUUGGUGGGGUAAAGGCCUACCAAGGCGACAAUCUGUAGCGGGUCUGAGAGGAUGAUCCGGCACACUGGGACUGAGACACGGCCCAGACUCCUACGGGAGGCAGCAGUGGGGAAUAUUGGACAAUGGGGGAAACCCUGAUCCAGCCAUGCCGCGUGUGUGAAGAAGGCCUUAUGGUUGUAAAACACUUUAAGCGAGGAGGAGGCUCUUUUGGUUAAUACCCAAGAUGAGUGGACGUUACUCGCAGAAUAAGCACCGGCUAACUCUGUGCCAGCAGCCGCGGUAA
Molecule: ribosomal RNA, 503 nt
Filed under: uncultured bacterium
Lineage: Bacteria
Description: partial 16S ribosomal RNA
Rfam family: Bacterial small subunit ribosomal RNA
Source: RNAcentral